AGUUUUCACACAGCUACUUCCGGGUUGUUGUCACGGACGCUUUCUGACCCAGGAAAUACCCACAAUAACGGGAUAACACAGCACCAAAACUAUUCACGGGCAUUUUUAUGGACUGAUAACAAACAAAUGUUUCGAAAAUAAUGGAGGGAUGUUGAAAUCGCGCGGAUAAUGGUAAAAAAACAGCUCCUCUAUGUUGGGGUGACGUACAGGGAGUUUAGAUUUCAUUCAUCGCCAUCAAAUUAUAAUACCCGAUUUGCUGUUUGCUGUUGAAUUUUCUAAGUUUCCCACUUUGAAAGUGCUUAAAAAAAGCUAUCUUAGACGAGAGUCAGCAAUAAGCUACAGCAAAUGACGCAGGUCAAAUUCUCUCCAUGUGUAACGGAGCAACUGAGAAGGAGAGAGGAAUAUACAGAAAUCUGUUGAAGUUCCUUUCCCCUGUGGAGUAACAUGGAGUGGCCAGGGGAUUUUCCUGAAGACCAUGCCUUUGUGGAGCUGCUGGUUCCAGGGGUUUCCAGUGAAUCAGACUUUGAGCAGCUCCUUACAGACACAGAGGAAAAACUCAAUCUCAAUGCCAACAGCAUUGAACAGAAGCUGAAGGAGCUCCAGGGCAAAAUGGGAGACUCCCGUACAGGCGAGCGUCCGCCGAGCCCCUCAGAGUGCCUGCAGUGGUUCAACCUCAGAGGGCACAACAGUCUCAGGCCUGUUUCCACAGGAGAUCAAGAACUCAUGGACUUCUUCAGAGCUGUGCAACAGUACCUGAGGUCUGACGAGGAGGGGAAGGAGGAGGUAGUGCUCCAUCUCCUGCUGAAUCUGUCUUCCCAAUGCGGUGUCUGCUUUCCUUGUACCCCUUCUUCCCUCUCCUCCUCAUCCUCUUCUCUUCAUCCUCAAAUGAAUACCUCCUCCAUCAACCUUGUGCACACAGUCAGAGAUGACGCCUCAUUAGAGAUCCAAGAAGUUUGGGAUGAUGUCCGUCUCCAGCUGCGUCGCCACCUGCUGGGGCGGCUGUCUCCUCACAGCACAGAACAUUAUGCACACAGACAACUUUCCACUCUGUCCAUCUCUGAACGGGUCUACUGUCUGCAGCAGCUGUUUUUCCUUUACCCGGAGUCUGAAGUGCUCAUGCAUUACCAGGCUCUGAGAAGCCAAUCUGUGCUGGUUCUCCUGCUAUCUGCUCUGAGCUCGAGCCCAGGCGGUGAGAGCGGAUUUGACAGACUGGCUGUUGGCUUCCAUUCUGCGGUCUCAGCUCUGACCCAGGCCCUGACAGAGGAGCUCCACGUCCUUUCAAAACUAGCUGAACCACACACCAUCCUGAGUUUCAUUAACGCAGCCUACCUCAGCACCGUGGCCCGUGAACUGGCCUCCAUGAUGGAUAGAGAAUGUGAAACAGCCCUGAGGGACAACACCACACUCAGCAGCAAGAUCAAGAAAUACUCAGCCAGGUCCCGGGCAACCGUAGCGCCAAUGGAGCUUCCCAUGAAAAAUAGGAGCUUCAGUUUGACCUCCCACCAGCUGAGGGCGUUAACCCAGCUAGCCUGCACCCUGCUGGGCUUUGAGAGGACUGUUAAGGAGCUUGUCACUAAUAUGACUUUCAUCGACUGUACAGGAGAUACUCCGGGUGUAAAAGGUAUCUUGAAAAAGACUAGAGAGGAAUCAGAUAUGACAGCAGAUGGCAGGAAAUCCAGAGCAGAAACACUUCCACACACACCAGAGGCGCAGGUGUUGGAGUUUGAGUGGAGGUCAUCAUAUAGGGGGCUGGUCCCUCACAUGGCACAUUGUGUUAAAGUGGUGCUGGAUGAUGUUUUUGCCAAGAGUCUACAGCAGGAAGACGCUUUAUUUUCUUCAGGUCACACCUCCAUCACCCUGAUCUGCAUUGGUGGAGAGACAACCCUCUCUGGGAGCAACACAUGCGUCAGAGAAGAUUCCUUCUACACCUACUCAGAGAGAGAGACUCCCAAAAUGAUAGCAAAGUUCUGCAGAGCUAUCACAGCUGAGCUGGAUGCUUUGCUUCCCCUGGCUGCAGCCUGCAGGGACGGCUCUCUCCUGGAGGUGCGAUCGAGCUUUGUGGAGGCGUGUGGCAGGGCAGCGUUCGCCAUGUUGGGUCGUUUGCAGGAGAGGGCCCUGGAGGUUCCAUCCAAUGCACCCCUGAAGAACCUGCCUGCUCUGCUGGCCACAUGUUUAUACGUGCACCAACGACUGGAGCACUACCAUGCCCGGCUGAAAGAUUCACACACUGCAGCAGCUAAAGUACCCCUAACCCUGCUGCCUAUCCAGAAGUACCACGAUGCAGCCGAGGCCUUGAGAGAGCAGAUGACCAGCUACUGUUUCCAGGUCUGUUCCACCUGCAUUCUGCAAGACACAGAGAGUCACCACUGGGCUGAUCCAAAACCAUUCUAUGAGGGUGAGCGCUGUUCCUUCUCAGUGCAGAUGUGGUUCUACUUCCUGUGUGGGCUCCGGAGUGACCUGUGGGCGGUGCUUCCGUCUGAGUUAGCCAAGGAGGUGUUAGGCCAGGUGCUGUCAGAGACUUUGCAGCUGUUGGUACAAAGAUAUGCCAGUGCCCAUCCCUCAUAUAAGAGACACCUACAAAUCAGGUGUGACAUAACAGCGGUGCUGCUGUAUGUGGAGCAGCUUAUGUGGAGUGUGUGUGAAAGUCCUGAGGCUUUGGUGCACUCCAAUCCUUCUUCAGCAAUUGCCAUAAUAGCGGGUGGAGCAGACUGGUCAUACAUAAUCCACAGCCUGUGUGAGCAACUCCUGACAGUGCUCGUCAUUGUCACAGCACCCCUAUCUUUGCUGUACAGGAUAUUUAUGAUUAAUCCUGCCAAAGAGUCUGCAGCACAUCAGCCUGGCGGCCCUGUUGUCCACUGGCUUAAUGCUAUCAACCCCGACCUCUUCACAGAGCUGGUCAUUCGAGAGGGUCUUAAGGGCCAGGCGGCCUCUUUGUGUCAGCUGAGGCUUCUGACCUCUGACCCAGGAUACAAUCCCAGGUUGCUACUGCGAACGCUUCUGUAUCAAGACUGUCACCUGCCCAGAAUACUCCUGGAAGACUCUUAUUUCUGCCAGGAUAGCAGCUUAGAAAUGUCUACAGAAAGCUCCAAAGCAGGAGAUGACUUCAUAGUCACUUUGUUCAACCUUUUCAGUUGCCUGAACAAUGUUCCCAAGGCCUUGACUCAGGUCCUUGAGCCGUACCUGGAGCGGGCACAGAUAUGGGAACAUCUUUUCACACUAGCAGAUACAACUCGGACUGUACCUUUAGUGAUCAGCCAUAUCAGAGCUGUACUCAACAAGUCUAUCAACAGCCUCCUGGUACACCUGGUCCCCAUGGUGAUGAGUUGGCAGGUCGCAGAGGAGCCCAGUACAGCACUGUUAAAGCAGAAUGUACCAGAGAGCGUCCUGGCUAGAAUACCGAAAGAGUGGAACUACACUCCUCUGGACGCAAGGGGGAAGGAGACAACCACAAAGACGGUCAUAUCCAUAACUAUUCAAGCCUUGUCCUUCAUUUUCACCAACCUGGCCAUGGCUGUGGUAUCUGUGCCUCUACCUAUCCGCUACCUCUUCCAAGUGGCAGAGAAGCACCUCUCCCAGCAUGCCCGUCAGUUGCGCUUAGUGGGCUUGUUGCUCUGGGCCCUGCUAGGCUGUUUGAUCCAGGCCCUGGAGGACCCAAUCACACUGGAAACUAUCAGCGGUGUGGAGCUGGACCGUGGGGCAAAGGAGCCCCUGUCCCUGCUGGCUGAGUGCCUACAGGCUGCCAUUGGCAUUCAGCAGAAGGGUGUUCCCAAACCCACAGUGCACAAAGUGCUGCAGGCUCUGGAGGAAAAAAGACCCAAGUGGACAACCAUGCAGCUGCAGAAAGCUCGUAAGCUCUGCUCAGACAGUGAUGGACAGGAAAGGAUACAGCGCAGGUGCUGACACGGGUGCACAACCACCAUCGCAGACAACAACACCACCACAGGGCUUGCCAGGCAGAAGAAUGAGGGGAUGUACGCGGACAAGAGGGGACUCCUCUUCCUCUGCAACUCUCAAUGUCAAGUAGCCAAUGGCUGGCUGACAGGCGACACCGAUUCUGCCACCUUAUAAUUACAUAGAGGAAGACGGAGAGAGAGAGGGAACAAUGACAGGAAGUGUAUGUGAAGGAGAAGGCUUGAUGGACGGUGGUGUGAUAUCCAUCCAUACAGGAAGGGCAGGAAAAUGAUGCGGGCGUCUGCUAGGGUGCAGGACUGUACAUGCAUGAGGACCUUGACACACAAUUACACACACACAUACACGCUUAAGAACACACACACCAAUCAUUUUUAGUGCACUAGUAUCCUUCGGACAAAAUGCUGCAAUGUAUCUCAUGAAUAAUAAUGAAAACUGAGAAAAUUAUUUUGUUAUCUAACCCUCGAUAAUUUGUCUUUACUUCUCACUUACUUUUUCAAGAGCUUUAGCCUUGACCAGGCAGCAGGUUGACAUUUAGUGGUUUUUUAAAAUGGAUUUGCCUUCUGGAGUGAAGGUUUUCUCUAAAACUAAAACAAAAUUAAUUCUAAAGGCUGAGGUCAUUUUCAGGCUAAUUUUCUUGUGCAUAGUAUAUUCAAAAUUUGAUAGCAAAUUCUUUCCCAAACUAGAAAAUCCCUCCUCCUUUAGGGAUUGUAUUGAGAUGCAAGCUGACUCCUAACCACUUCCUGUUUCCUCUCCUUUCUCUUGGCUCCACUCAGUAUUUUUUUAGCUUUUCUGCUCUCUCUCAUCUCCCCCUUUUCUGCUCUUUGUUUCCCUCUCAGUAUGUUCGAGCGAGGACGAGAGAGCGGAGUUGCUGUGGCUGAACUGACUGAGCAGAAAAUAGGCCUGAUGCUGCUGGAGGUCUGCCACAAAGCAGGUGGCAGUGACUACCUGAGGCAGAUCUAUCACAUCAUCCAAGGCAAUGAGGAACUACUGAUGCUCAAACUAAGUGGGAACACAAACUCACCCAGUGGUCCUUCUCACUUGGUGAACUUUGACCUUCAAUUGGACACUGCUGGUUUCAACCCUGUCCACCAGUUUGACCACAUUGGAAAAAAGAAGCUGGAUCAGAGUGCUGUGGUGGACUGGGCGUGGGACUGGCUGAGGCUGCUGCCAACCUAUCAGGGCAUGAGUCAGGUCACCUUCAAAACUCUGCUGGCCAACAGGUGGGAGAUGCAGGAUAGUGCGGAGCUGGAAGAUGAAGAAAAAUCCAUGGUGGAGGAACUUCAGAAAGCCUAUUUUGUUUGCUGCUGCAGCCCGAAACUGCAAGACCCCCCUGAAGCUGAUGAGAGACCUGCAGAGCGGACCCAGGGGGAAACACACCCAUCUGAUGAGACUGCUGCCCAAUAACAGUCCAGGCAGUUAGAAUUUUUAUCAUGUUGUAAAUGUUUGCUUGUAAUACUCUCUCGGAACUCUCAAGGUAGUAAAAUGUGUGUGUGUGCGUGUGUGUGUUAAACUGGAUUUGUGUAUAUGCAGCAAGUUUGCAUAUGUGCGUGCAUGAAGACAUGAGCAAGAGAGCGGACAAGAAACUGCUAAACAUCAAAGAGUAAGAGAGACUGUUCCUCCCUAUCUAUGCGUACAACGCAGACAAACUCUCUGUGCUUUUCUGUGCUGCAUCAGAUGCAUUUCAUCUUUUUGGAGCACAUCUCCAGAAAUCAGUUCUGGGAAAUGGAGAGCCUGGAUUUGUUUGCCUGGGACAAGAUGGGACUGUGUGAUCACUACUGGUAGUGAAGUUUUUUUUAAGCAGUGAGUGUAAAGACAUUGGUGUCAGCAUACUUUCUCCUGGUUCCUGAAAGCAAACAUCAAAUGUUACGGUUGGAAAGCGAGAUGAGUAUGUUUUUGAUUACAGUGUGUCCUAAAAAUCUGCCCCACUAUGUAAUAUCAGUCAGGGUUUUGUGGGAACUGAGAAAACAUUUAUUUUAUCUGUAAUACGAUUGUUGACUAUGUUUUGCCAAGUUUGUCCAUAUUUCGUAAUUUGUGAGAUGGAGAUGGAAUAUUUUAGAAUUAAACAUGAAAAUAAAAAAAAUCCUCACUCUCA
Molecule: RNA transcript, 6004 nt
Organism: Notolabrus celidotus (New Zealand spotty)
Lineage: Eukaryota; Metazoa; Chordata; Actinopteri; Labriformes; Labridae
Gene name: KIAA0825 ortholog
Exons: 23
Source: RefSeq, a predicted model, not a curated record